This 55-nucleotide microRNA precursor is filed under the name Heligmosomoides polygyrus. RNAcentral's name for it is "microRNA hpo-mir-60b precursor". Its record names the gene hpo-mir-60b. The record is from miRBase by way of RNAcentral. Lineage: Eukaryota; Metazoa; Nematoda; Chromadorea; Rhabditida; Heligmosomidae.
AACCAGAAUUUGACAUAAAAUCCAAUUGGCGAUAUUAUGCACAUUUUCUGGCGUA